Molecule: ribosomal RNA, 424 nt
Filed under: Rhaebo guttatus group sp. ABGD cluster 2
Lineage: Eukaryota; Metazoa; Chordata; Amphibia; Anura; Bufonidae
Description: partial large subunit ribosomal RNA
Rfam family: Bacterial large subunit ribosomal RNA
Source: RNAcentral
CUUGACUAACCAUAGGAGGUCCAGCCUGCCCAGUGACUCUGUUCAACGGCCGCGGUAUCCUAACCGUGCGAAGGUAGCGUAAUCACUUGUUCUUUAAAUGAGGACUAGUAUGAAUGGCACCACGAGGGCUACACUGUCUCCUUUUUUUAAUCAGUGAACUUAAUCUUCCCGUGAAGAAGCGGGAAUAAACCUAUAAGACGAGAAGACCCUAUGGAGCUUAAAACAACAUAGCACUUGCCACAUAACACAAAAAUUUCUGAAUACCCUAAUUUUUCAAAGCAAUAUGACUAUAAGUUUUUGGUUGGGGUGACCGCGGAGCAUAACACAACCUCCACGUUGAACGAACUUUAUUCUAAGCCACGAACCACUUUCCUAAGCAUCAAUACAUUGACAUUAAUUGACCCAAUAUAUUUGACCAACGAAC